CCUUUACCUUCCGUCUUGGAAUCAAUACUGUAUAUUGGCUCCAAGGCAGAAGAAUGGUAAGGGCUAGGCAAUGGGGGUCAAGUGACUUGCCCAGGGUCACACAGCUAGGAAGUAUCUGAGACCGUAUUUGAACCUAGAACCUCCCAUCUCUAGGCCUGGCUCUCAACCACUGAUCUACCCAGCUGCACCCUGGUUAUAGCAUUUUUAAAAGAACAAAAUAGAAACAUUGCAAUGAAGCAGAUAUUUAUCUGAAAGUUAAAUUUUCCCUUAGCAGUCUUUGCUCAGAGUCCUUAGCCAACCACUGCUCUAGACGUUAGAGCUAGCAGUCCCUCUGACACAAGUUUCCAAUUUCCCAGAAGAGUGUCAUUAUAAUAAUUAUUCCAGAGAGUUUUCACAUCAGCAGAGAAUAAACUUAUGAAAUCUAUGACAUUGUUAAAUUUCCAUCUGUUCCAGGAGCUGUUGACGAUACACAUGAGGUUAUUCAGGCACUGUUUCAAAAUGAUGUGAGUUGGAGGACCCAUAAAUCAUGUUGCUGCCUCACGACACAAGGUAUAUAUGGUGCCAGGUGCAGCAUAACAGAUGUAGCCUCCAAUUUACCAGGAUCAUGUCACAAUUCAUUCACAUUAUGGCAGUCUGGAGUUAGAAAUCUGCUGGAAAUGCGACAAACAUAUGCCAGGUGGCUGCUGGCAGCUCGAGGUCAAGGAGGCUUUGGUUUGGUGAUGAAUAAGGCCAUGCAUGCUAUUUUCCUGUUUCUAAACUAGUAAUGUGUAGACAAAGUUGAACUUGUGGCCCUCUGCUGUGCUGGUGAUCAAGGAAUAAGGAAUACAUCAAAGGCAGGUUCCUCUUCUAGAAUAAUGUCAUUUUAAUUAAAGGUCAUAUGAAGUAAAUCUA
Molecule: long non-coding RNA, 891 nt
Filed under: Monodelphis domestica (gray short-tailed opossum)
Lineage: Eukaryota; Metazoa; Chordata; Mammalia; Didelphimorphia; Didelphidae
Description: lncRNA (ENSMODG00000040222.1)
Source: RNAcentral